GAUGAACGCUGGCGGCGUGCCUAAUACAUGCAAGUCGAGCGAACAGACGAGGAGCUUGCUCCUCUGACGUUAGCGGCGGACGGGUGAGUAACACGUGGAUAACCUACCUAUAAGACUGGGAUAACCUCGGGAAACCGGAGCUAAUACCGGAUAACAUGUUGAACCGCAUGGUUCAACAGUGAAAGACGGUCUUGCUGUCACUUAUAGAUGGAUCCGCGCCGCAUUAGCUAGUUGGUAAGGUAACGGCUUACCAAGGCAACGAUGCGUAGCCGACCUGAGAGGGUGAGCGGCCACACUGGAACUGAGACACGGUCCAGACUCCUACGGGAGGCAGCAGUAGGGAUGCUGCCGCAAUGGGCGAAAGCCUGACGGAGCAACGCCGCGUGAGUGAGGAAGGUCUUCGGAUCGUAAAACUCUGUUAUUAGGGAAGAACAAAUGUGUAAGUAACUAUGCACGUCGUGACGGUACCUAAACAGAAAGCCACGGCUAACUACGUG
RNAcentral lists this ribosomal RNA (497 nucleotides) under uncultured bacterium. Its description in RNAcentral is "partial 16S ribosomal RNA". It matches the Rfam family "Bacterial small subunit ribosomal RNA", at positions 28 to 507 of the family's 1533-position model. The record is from RNAcentral.